This is a long non-coding RNA of Solanum tuberosum (potato), 2364 nucleotides long. RefSeq lists it as uncharacterized. The record is from RefSeq and is a predicted model, not a curated record. Lineage: Eukaryota; Viridiplantae; Streptophyta; Magnoliopsida; Solanales; Solanaceae. The transcript is spliced from 4 exons.
AAAAAAUUGAACUCCAUUAUCUCAGGAUCCUCCAUUUGUGUCAUUCCCAACGGUCACAUGAUGCGACUCGCCGAAAAUGGCGAUAGUAGAAGCUGCCUUUGCAGCCACGCGAUAUCUGGUUACGUCACCGUUACGUGCUUCUUCAUCGCCGGCGCAUUUCCAGAACAACGUUAGGUCGAUUAAGUCGAUUACUCUGUUAUCGAAACGGAGUUUAUCAAGUUGUUCUUCGCAAAGUGAAAAGUGCCACAUUAAUUUGUGACGGGGAAAUACAAUUUGGUGUGGUAAUGUUUACAAGUUGGUGUGUUUUGAUGUUUUAGUUUGAAAAGCUGUGGUUUCCUUAUGUUCCAUUGUUUGAAUGUUUAGAGGAAUUUUGAAUUGCUUGCUGAAUUGUUGCUUUGAACAUGAGGGCUUAUUAUCAUCAGAUUUCCUAUUUUAUAUGACUUUAUUUGACUGAUUAUGUUGUUUAAGAUAUUAAUUUGACUUCCUUUCUUAGAGUGGUAUAGUGGACGAAAAACUCGAAGUUAAAGUGUGAAAGUUAAUUUGAUAGCGUUCUACUAUUGAAUAGCGUAAUGAACUUGAAUUAUUGAAGUUGUGAAUUAUCAAGUCAUCUUGGCACAAAUAGAUAUGGUUGGACAUGUUAUUUGAAUUGUUUCACAGACAGACUUGAGUAUUGAGAUGGAGCGGGCUGAAGUAAGAUUACUUAUCUGAUUUAUUAUUAAGUUCUAGGAUGUAGUAUGAUGUGUAGUGCAAAAGAUGUAUUUCAUUAUAGAAUCGCUUGAGAUAUUGCGUGAGGCUGCAAGAUUUUGGAUCUAGAUCAGACUAAGGCGUAUUAAACUUCUAGCUGGUUCAUUGUGCAUCUACUGCAGUGAGAAGGGGCUUUUGUAACAUGUCCAGAAUAUGUUGUUGAAUCCAUUGACCAUGUAGAAGAAAUAAAAAUGAUGUUCUCUCUAACAACUUAAGUUUUUAGAUGGGAUGGUCACAUAAUUCACCUAGUAUUAGAGUAGGAAGAGGUCUGGAUUUGAGUCUAUCCAUCACCCAUUAUCAAAAGGAAUUUUCAGGUUCUUCCCACAAAAAAGAAAAUCAGGCCUACACGUGAGAGGGCAUGUUGAACACAUAAUUAGGUAAAUAAAAGUGGUGUUUUUCUAAUAACCUAAAAACUUUUUUAGAUGAGAUGGUCACACAAUUCAACAUACCAUAUGUCUCAAUUUCAGUAUUUCUCUGUAACAACUCUGAUUUUGUUGUUCUUUUGGUCUCAGGAAGCAGAUCAGUGUUGUUGAGCAUUGACCAGUAUGAGUUGUUGGACUUCCUCGAAAUCUUGAACUCGUAGUUUUAAUUUAUCUUAUUUGGUUUCUCUUCAAUACCCUCUCAUUGUGGAUAAACUUUCUUUCUAGGUUACCCUAUAUAGAUACAGUAAUAGGGAUAGAACUAUUCUAUAUAUUUUAUUUGAGAGUUUGGCUAGUUAAUGGAAGUACUUACUUGCUUGAGCCUUUCUAAUGUAAAUGUUCCUUUUUAUCAUAUUCUUGUGUUCUGCAUUUUUUUUGUUUAUAUUUGCAAGUCAUUGUGGGAGGAGAAAGUUCCCCUAAAACAUGAUUUUACUGAUUGAUUAUCCUCAUAAUUGCAAGUUCCCUUCAGGCAGUGUUCAGGAAAGCGAGCUUCACAGACUAGAAUGAGUAUGUGAGCACUUCAUCGCUUAAAGCGAGCGUUUCAUCGCUUAAAGUGUGAAGUGGGGCCUUGUCGCUUUUUUCCGCUUCACGCUUCCCUGAACACCGCCUUCAGGAAUGGUGUGAAAAAAAGAUGGAGUAUACUCUUCUUUGUGGCAAACAAGAAAAGACCAAAGCUAUGAAAGCUGGUAGAAGAAGUCGUCAUGAAGCACUCGAAGAAGAGGUGAUCAAAAAGGUAAAAGUUCGCGUUGACUCAGCUGAAGAUGUAUGGGCAUUCAUGCUCUUAAAUUUUAUAGUUGGAGCCAAUCAAUUGUUAUUUGACGGAUUGACACGUGAAUUGCCCCUUAGUAGGUUUUGCUGAAGGUGUAUGGAUGGUGGGAGUUAUUGAUGAGAUACGAAUGCCGGAAGGACAAAGUGAUGCAUAUCCAAUGUUAGUUGACACAAAAACACGAGUGCAAGCUAGCCUUCCUCUUGAACCACAACGGAGGAAUGGAAGGCCUACAAGCAUUUGUGGGACAGCUUGGUAGCUGAUAACUUUCCCUCCGGCCAGUUCUUUGAAUUCUUCUCUCUGAAUCCUAAUCACAUUUUAUCUGCACAAGUCAGAGAAAGUACUGCUGUAAGUAUAGAAGGGCACUCCCGUUAACUUCAUCACCCCAUAACUUAGAAGUAUAUCAGUAUGAUGAACAUCAAACUUACAAGAAUA